This is a long non-coding RNA of Lotus japonicus, 1387 nucleotides long. RefSeq lists it as uncharacterized. Lineage: Eukaryota; Viridiplantae; Streptophyta; Magnoliopsida; Fabales; Fabaceae. The transcript is spliced from 5 exons. The record is from RefSeq and is a predicted model, not a curated record.
UUGGAAAUAGGAGAUUAAUUAAGGCUCUAGACUAUCAAAGCAUGCUUUAUCUAUUCUUCAUGGAAAAUAUAUUGGGAACACACAAGUCUUUAACAAAUCCAAUUGCCCAAAUAAUUCUACAUGCAUCAGGAACUGAAGAAGAUUGGAUCAGCCAUGUGAUUUUCAGAACCCUGCUUCUCUCAUGUUUUUGCUAUGGUUGUUGAAACUGUGAAAGAUAUUAUGAUGAUGGGUCUUAGAUGGAGUGAGAUUUUUCUCUUGGCUUUAAAGAUAAUUGGCUAUGGUUACUUAAUAGAAUGGGUAUAUCUUUACAGGUAACUAAUAAAUUGGUACUUGAUGUUGGUAUAUUCCUCCAAACUACUGAAGUCCAUAAUUGAAGUGAAGUUGACUUGAGAAUGCAGUGCGGCUAUUUUCUCUGGGAUUUGGCAAAGAGUUGAGGAGACGAGCAUUUAUAUAUUGUGGAUUUUUAAAGAAUAGUGUUUGCUCUUAUUCAACGGUGUGUAAUUGGGGAUGCCAUUUCAGGGAUGAAGCAGUUGGUGAUGCUGGCCAUGGCCUCCAUCAAUGGCUAAUCUUAUCAGUGAUUUUAUUUUUUGGGACUGUUUUGCAUGACUUUGACAAUUUCUUUGAUGUUUUAUAUUCUUAACUUUAUUUAAUUUUGAUUUUUAUAAUUUUUUAUGGUUUCAUGAUUAGUUAAGUGAUCUUUGUAAUUUUAUUUUGUUCUCUCAGGUAUGCUAAAGUCUGUUCUAUUUCUUUGCUGAUUCUUGCUUUAUUCUCUCUCCCUUUGCACUUUUUUGCUGAUAUAGGUUCUUUUAUGUCGAAUUCUGCCAAUUCCUAUUCAAGAAGACACCUUAAGUUUUUUUUUUUUUUUUGCAAUUUCAGAUGAACUUUAAUCUCACGUGGCAGCUUCGUCAUCAAGAUGGUCUCUACAAAGGAAAAAGCUAAUUAAACUAUUUUAGGGAGAAAAAUCUAAAGAGGUUGUGAUAGUUGUAGAUGCAAAAUGCCAUAAUAUGAGAUAGACAUUAAGACAUAAAUUGGGGAAGUGAAGUUAUAUAUGUUGUAAGAAACGGGGAGAGUUUUCACCAAUUCUAAGAUGAUUUCAAGAGUUUUUAAUGAGGAGUUGGACAAUUGGCAUUAUUAUUAUUAUUUUUUUGGUGAAUGUUUGUACCAUUAAUUGAUGAAAAUCACCCUUUUAGCAUGGUUUCGAUGUUUUAUGUAAUUCUGAAGAUGCCAAGAGGGUAUAGCUAGAGGAGUAUAUGUUUUGUCAUUUGUUACAAUCUAUGUGUUACAAACUAAUUUGUUACUUUUCUAUCUUUUUCAUGUUUUUUUUUUCACUUUUUAUAUCAUUCAGUUCUAAUUAAUUUUUGUAUACAUUUAAUCAUUUAUGCUUGAC